UUUCCAUACCCCCUUAUUGUUCUCUUUUGCCUGCCCUUCGGCUUGAAAGGUAUGUUGUCCUUGGCUCCGAAAUUGUUCAAUAUAAAACCGUGGUAAUGUUGCACAAUGUACUGUUAUGCUACCAUAAGUUUGUUACAAUGUGGAUAAUAUAAAGAUUUAUGUUAACAAGGUUCACAAAGCUCGCUAACUAGGGUAUCUAUUGUAACUUGUGAGUACUUGGGACAGUGUUUGAGUGAGUGUCCAUGUGCUUGCGCAGGUGCCUGAGAGCUAGGACUGCGCCAAGGGUUAACAUAAUGUGUGUUGUCUCUUCGUGUGCAGGGCAAAUAAAACAUUAUUCAACUAGCAGACCUCCAGUUGUGGCAGCGUCCUAAUUUAAAGUACACAACGCAGAACGAACCACUUAACAUAGGCAUAUAUAAAUAAUGUAUUUAACUUGUAAGGCAAGGUUGGAUUAGUUGGUCUAAACAACAUGCACCUGGAUAAUCGCGUCAUGAAUCGGGAUGGGCUCCUACAUCCUCAUAUACACAUUAUGACAUAAUAAAGAGUUUAAUCGUUCACGAAAUAAAGACAUAGAAGCAUACCCAUUUAUACAGGUUCUACACAUUCCAUUUCUCCAUGGCAAUAGAAUGUAAACAUUCUAUUUUGCCCCAAACAUCGCCUACAACUCCAUUCUAAGUGCAGCAUAUUGGACGAUUCAACAGUCAUUGAUCAUUCUCGACUUUAAGUCAUUCCUGUUAUGUCUAGAGCAUCCCGUAUAUCUAUAGCACUGCAUUUCUUCCUCAUCUUACCAUGGAUAGGGUUUGGUGCAUUCCGGAGUUCACUUAUGGUCCCACAAAGGUAAUCUUAGGAGAAAUUCAUUUUAGCAUACUGUAAAUGCCUGUGCAUAAUGUACAUAACAAAGCAUCAUUAUUUUCAUGAUCUUCAAAGGAAUUCUGUAGAAGCAGUCUUUAUUUUCAGACUCUGCAGGCCUGCUGGGAGGAAACAUAUUACAAUAAACAGAAGAAGCUCAUGGUCCACUAUCUGCUGCUCCAGAGUCAAGGCCAGGUCCCUCUCCAUGUCACCACGGAGCACAUGAGCAACUGGCUGGUGUCUCAGGGCAAAAAAUCCCUUAGGGGGAGGGUGUGGAAGGAAACCCUGGAGGAGGGAAACGACCUCGCUCGGCUGGCCUGGGAAGUAAACACUUGCCUAAAAAUGAUGAACAUAGAGCACGAGGCUUUCUGCAAGCUCCGCCGCUCCAUGCACCCCACCUCGCCAGCUGACAUCGAUCCACAGCACUGUGGAAAGAGCUGUGAGGAGCAUUCUGGGCGAGCAGUCCAAUGAGCCCAGUAGCAACCUGCUCAGGUGGUGGCGGAGGUGGUGCCCAGGCUCCUCCUGGCCCUGUGGCUUCAGCCAGAGGAAGGCCAUUCAGAGCACCCAAUCCUAAUAAACGGGAUGGCCGUGGGCAUGGUGGCAGCCGUAGUGGAGAAGCUCUCCUGCAUGUUAAAGGACCCUUCCCCUCACAUCCCUUUCUCCCGGGCUGCUGCUUUUGACUCUGUGCGGUCGAUCCUCAGGAGAAUCAGUCAGUCCUUCUCCACCGAUGACCUGCAGAGCCCUUUUUAUAUGAGCUCUGUUUGUGCCUUUGUGGCGGAUGAGGUGCAGAGCUGCUUCCAGCCCCCUGCAGCCACCCAACCAGUCCCCCGGGUCCUCGCGGUGGCCGUUUCCACCACACUACCAGCUGACAUCCAAGGAGACCCGGCUUCUUCCCACCUGAAUGUUGUGGACAUCACCUCUAACACAGAGGCAGAUCC
This is a long non-coding RNA of Oncorhynchus tshawytscha (Chinook salmon), 1787 nucleotides long. Lineage: Eukaryota; Metazoa; Chordata; Actinopteri; Salmoniformes; Salmonidae. The record is from Ensembl.